CUUAAAAUACUCCCAACCGUUGGAUCAUCAUCAUUUAUUCAAUCUCUCUUUGAUACCCUAAAAGGCAUCCGCCGUCUCUGCACCUUCAGAAAACCUAAAUUUCUCUUUCAAUUUCCUUUUCUUCAGAUCUCAAAAUUUCAGCCAAAUUUUUUCCUCAAUGAUGCAUCUUUUCGUUAUUUCUCAAACAUCCGGAAAUAGAAGAAGAUGAGAUUGUUAAUCUUGAUGUUCUUGAUUCACAAGCACAAUGAUAUUUCCUCUCAAAACUCAAAUAUACUCUCAUCAUCUGCCACCACGGACAACGAUCAGUUGAAAUCUGUUUGGGAUGAAGAUAGGUUUGUGAUCGGGAUCCAGUUGAAGGACUCUUCAUCUCGCAAUCUGCAGUGGAAGAUAGUUGCUAAGGACAUUGCCAGAUCAGGGAGAGCAUGACUUACCCCAGAUACCAGAACCAGUGGCAUUUGCAAAGGUGGAGGAUACUGGGAACUUAGUUUUGUAUGGUUCUAAAUCACAAAUAAUUUGGCAAAGUGAUGAUCAUCCAUCGGAAUUCCAUCCCAGAGCUGAAGUUAUCUCGAGUUAUUUGGGGAAGCUGAAUAUUCAACCUCAAAUAUGGAGAAAUCUCCUUCGCUCUCCUCAUCAUCGUCCAAAGGAGAAAUCUGCAAGGCUCAUAACUCCCUGCCCAGCAGAUAUUGAGAAGUUGGGAAGUGAGACAGUGAUAUCUGUGCUUGCAGCAGGGUUACUGGAAUCCAAGAGAUUUCAGAAAUUAAUUAAUGGGAUUUGGGUGUGGGAAGGGAUAACUGUCACAGGGAUGGAACUUUUGACUUUUUUCAUCCAAAAUUUUAUAAGACACUAUGGUUGACAUGUGCGUAUCAUAUGGUUUAACAGCUCAGAAUUUUCUUUGCUAACAACCUUAUGUAAAGACGUGACAGUCAAGAGGCGCGUUAGAGCAAAUGAUGAUCAUUAGGUCUUGAACCUCUGCAGCAUUUUUUCAGCUCUCAGUGGGGCUACCUAUGAUCCUUACUCGUAAGACUAUUGACUUCUAUAACACUACUUAAGAAGCUGGCCCUGCAAGAAUUUGACUGAGAAAGGGAAUGCAACUUGAUGCUGUUACAUGUGGGAUGUAGAAAUGAAACUGCAGUAUAAAGUUUUCUGAUUCUUGGAUGUUGCAAACAACUUAACUCACAGGAAGAACACCUGUGAAAUAUUUCUACGCAGUGGCUUGUUAGACUAUUAUGCAGUGGCUUGCUUGACGUGAAUUUCCCCUGUUUUCAAGAAAUAUUUAUUGAAAAGAUUAUCUGUAAACUCCCA
This is a long non-coding RNA of Papaver somniferum (opium poppy), 1302 nucleotides long. RefSeq lists it as uncharacterized. The transcript has 6 exons. The record is from RefSeq and is a predicted model, not a curated record. NCBI's taxonomy places the organism in Eukaryota, Viridiplantae, Streptophyta, Magnoliopsida, Ranunculales, Papaveraceae.